RNAcentral lists this ribosomal RNA (305 nucleotides) under uncultured bacterium. RNAcentral's name for it is "bacterial SSU rRNA". It matches the Rfam family "Bacterial small subunit ribosomal RNA", at positions 338 to 640 of the family's 1533-position model. The record is from RNAcentral.
CCUACGGGGGGCAGCAGUGAGGAAUAUUGGUCAAUGGGCGGGAGCCUGAACCAGCCAAGUCGCGUGAGGGAAGACGGUCCUAUGGAUUGUGAACCUCUUUUGUCGGGGAGCAAAGAGAUCACGUGUGGUCAAAAGCGAGAGUACCCGAAGAAAAAGCAUCGGCUAACUCCGUGCCAGCAGCCGCGGUAAUACGGAGGAUGCGAGCGUUAUCCGGAUUUAUUGGGUCUAAAGGGUGCGCAGGCGGAAGAUCAAGUCAGCGGUAAAAUUGAGAGGCUCAACCUCUUCGAGCCGUUGAAACUGGUUUU